Molecule: small RNA, 251 nt
Organism: Paenibacillus sp. oral taxon 786
Lineage: Bacteria; Bacillati; Bacillota; Bacilli; Caryophanales; Paenibacillaceae
Rfam family: BsrG
About the family: bsrE, bsrG and bsrH pair through intermolecular interactions with antisense sRNAs. SR4 interaction with the 3'UTR of bsrG RNA promotes bsrG degradation and inhibits its translation.
Source: Rfam
AGCAAUAGAAUAGGCUUGCAAGGGCGGUCGGCUACCUCUCAUUCUCUAGGAAGGGAGGGAUGCCAAAUGGAAGUUUAUCAAGCAUUAACGCUAAUGAUCUCAUUCGCGACAUUAAUGGUCCUGAUACUUUCCUUCCAUAAACACAAAUAGACCGCCCUCGGCAAAGGAAUCGGUCUAUUUGUACUGAGAUCCUACACAGCCUGCCGCCCUUAAAAGCGGCUAUUGCCCGGAGCCGUGCCCUGUAAGCACGG